Molecule: ribosomal RNA, 502 nt
Filed under: uncultured bacterium
Lineage: Bacteria
Description: bacterial SSU rRNA
Rfam family: Bacterial small subunit ribosomal RNA
Source: RNAcentral
AAUGAACGCUGGCGGCGUGCUUAACACAUGCAAGUCGUGCGAGAAAGUCGACUUCGGUCGAUGAGUAGAGCGGCGAACGGGUGAGUAACACGUGGGUAACCUGCCUGGGAGCGGGGGAUAACCUGGGGAAACUCGGGCUAAUACCGCAUACGUUCUCGGCGCUACGGCGCUGAGAGGAAAGCUGGCCUAUUCUUGAAAGCUGGCACUCCUAGAGGGGCCCGCGGUCGAUUAGCUUGUUGGUGGGGUAACGGCCUACCAAGGCGAUGAUCGAUAGCCGGCCUGAGAGGGCGAUCGGCCACACUGGGACUGAGACACGGCCCAGACUCCUACGGGAGGCAGCAGUGGGGAAUAUUGGACAAUGGGCGCAAGCCUGAUCCAGCAACGCCGCGUGGAGGACGAAGGCCUUCGGGUCGUAAACUCCUGUCAGUUGGGACGAAAAGCCGUCGGUCAAUAGCCGGCGGUCCUGACGGUACCAGCAGAGGAAGCCCCGGCUAACUCCGUG